This 67-nucleotide microRNA precursor is filed under the name Picea abies (Norway spruce). RNAcentral describes it as "miR11420f stem-loop (pab-MIR11420f)". Lineage: Eukaryota; Viridiplantae; Streptophyta; Pinopsida; Pinales; Pinaceae. The record is from miRBase by way of RNAcentral.
GGGCUGGUUUGGUACCGAACCGGCUGAGUCAAAGGAUAAUUCCACCGGUUCGGUACCAAACCGGCCC